This is a long non-coding RNA of Colius striatus (speckled mousebird), 236 nucleotides long. RefSeq lists it as uncharacterized. The record is from RefSeq and is a predicted model, not a curated record. The transcript is spliced from 4 exons. NCBI's taxonomy places the organism in Eukaryota, Metazoa, Chordata, Aves, Coliiformes, Coliidae.
GUUCGAAGGCACGAGGGAGCCAGGUAAUUGGCACCGGAGAGGACUCGGCCAGGAGGUCCCCGAGCCUGACGCAGCAGGAUGGAAUGACCCACGUGGAGGGCUAGAGGUCAAGAUGCUAUAAGAUGCCUCGGAGAGGUGAAGCCACACACUGAGGAGGAGGCUGGAAAGGGGCCGUGAGGACAGCCUCCGGAGCUUUCGAGGUGAGCCAGGCCGGUUGCGAGGAGGGUGUCGGGGCU